This is a non-coding RNA of Heterocephalus glaber (naked mole-rat), 1824 nucleotides long. NCBI's taxonomy places the organism in Eukaryota, Metazoa, Chordata, Mammalia, Rodentia, Bathyergidae. The record is from RefSeq and is a predicted model, not a curated record.
UAAAAUGUAAAUAUGUGAGUGGAUAAAAUAAUGGAGAAAUGAUAAAAAACUGGAAGAUAUACUGUUGGAGAAGAGGAUCAGGAGUUAUGAGGCGAGAAGGAACAGAGGUUACUACAGUGAGUCUCCAACUUAGGAAUGAGUUCCGUUCUGGGAAAAUGUUCAUAAGUUGGAUUCAUCUGUAAGUCUAACAAACUGUGCCCAGCUUCCUUCCAGCCAUAAUCUGACUCAGGGUAUGGCCUUUAUGAGAAAUCAGGGGCUUUGAGAAACUCUCCUUUCAUGUGUCAGUGGUCAGCUUCAGCAAAAGGAAAGCCAAGGGGGUGUGGUUGCUCCCUGCUGUUUAGACUCUUCAGCCAUCAGAUCUGUACCUUCAGGUCAAGGAACAAUUCGUCUUUGGAAGAUGGAAGUACUCAGGAUAAUUAAAUGACUUUCUUCCUAGCAAUGGAGAUCUUGUUUAUUUGAGCAAAUCAGUGAAAAAAUUAUUUUACCAUGGGCUUACAAGAGGCUGGGAGUAUUUCUCUCACUAAUCCUGAAAUAACAGAGAUUCCUGAAAUGCAGAUACUUCAUCCAAGUUGAUUCCUGCAUUGCAGAUCUGAACUAUUGAUAAAAUAGGAUAAAAAGAAGCAGCAAUUGAAUCUGUUGAUUGUUGAGUCUGCUUUGUGGCCUAAAAUUCUAGAAAUAUCAGAACAUCUGCAGUUUGACAAUUAAAGAGCUUUCAUUUCUCAUCACAGAGUAGAUUUGGUGGUGGUUUUUACCUCUUUCAACUCACCUGCUGCAGGUGAGUUUAGUCUAUCCAGGGCCAAGAAGAAGAUAUGGACGUGGUCAGGAAACGACUGGACUUGGUCCUCCUCACUGAAGAAGGGGUUAUCUGACAGUGGUUACCCACCUGCAUCAGCUGAGGAUCUUGGGAAACCGGGUACUCCAGAACCAUGGACUCAUGAGGGGUGGCUCCCAGGCAUGAGCAUUGCUUAAAAAUGUUCUUGGACAAUUCUAAUGUGCAGCCAGGGUUGAGAACUGCUAGAAACCCCUUCUGUUGGAGAGCAAGGUAACUAAGUUAAUAGUUACCAAAGAGUGAAUGGCUUACAGCAUUAUUCCCAUUUUCCAAAUCAGUAUCUAAUGGAGAUUCUGGUCAGGUGACGAAGUGUAGUGAGUUCUAUCUCAUCUGGCUCAGACAACUGCUGUGCUUAGUGGGCCUUGUUUAAGCUUCCUCUUCCUAAAAUUAGAUGUAUUAAACACUUGCCUGAUACCUAUAGAUGAGUAGAUGAUUUGUAAAACUGAAUUUUGUACAAGUGUAAAUAUGUUGAUUGUGUAUCUAUCUGUGUCAUUAGAGCUAUGCCAUGGUGGCAAAAAUGAAAGACUCUAAAACAAUGAGGAAGGCUAUUAGAAUAUUUGAGGCCUUAUUGUUUUUUAGAGGUACUUUUUUGACCAAUAUAGAAAGGGUUGGAUAUAAAGUUGUUCAGCUAUUGCUUAUAUUUUCUAGUUACCUACCAUACAUCUUCCUAGUUAUUAAACUUUCUUCUAUAUAUUAAUUUCAAUUUUUCCACAUGAAUAAUUAAAUGCUAUACUCUUCUUUUAUGGGCAUGUGCUAAUGCCUAUUAUAUAUGUUUUUCAGAUUCUUCUGUAUAAGGUAUAUGGGAUCAAAGAGAACAGAAUUCAUAUUAGAGUUUUAGCUAUGUGACCUUGGGAAAAUUGUUAACUUCUCUGAGCCUCAUUUUCCUUAUUUAUAAAGUGGGAAUAAAAUAAGCUUGUCUCUUAACCUUAUGAUCGAGCCUUUAAAAACUAAUAUAUAAAAAGCACAAGGGAAUGGAAUUAAUAUGAGAAAAUGAG